GUGUAUUUCUUAAAAACUUUUUAUAAAAUAUGCUUAUUAUAACAACUUUGGAAACUUACAACAAGGAAAUUAAAAUUAUCUGUAAUCUCUCCCCCCCAAGAAUAGUGUAUAUAGAGGGAUGAGGAUUCAUCGGCUGUUUUUCUAGAGUUUCUAUUAGAAUUUUCAGAUGUGUUUGGGUCUCUCUGUGUCCUCAGAUUGAAGGAGUAGUAUCUUAUAUAUAUGGUUGAUCCAAACAGCCAGAGACGUCAUUAGUUGAAGCAUACGUGUCAAGAGUCCUGUGUUCCUUUUUCAAGCCUCAGAAAAUAUAUAACUAGCACUGCGAGAACAGUUUCUUUACACAGAUCAGGUGUUGAACUGAUUUUUUUUUUUUUUUUUUAAAACAUCAGACGGGUAACGUGCCGGUGUCAUAAAAAGGUUUGGAAGGAGGCACAUGUCAUGCAGCAGCGUGAACACCCAAUCAUCACGCUCAUGAACUACAAAAGGAUCUGAACUGAUUCUUAAGUGAAAAUCUUACCUAUUAAAGAUAUAUGCACCACAUGAUUUUAGCGUAUAUGCAAAGGAUUUGGUCCUCAGGGGAUCCAGAUUCUCUGUUGUACUUUUUGAAGAACUUUAUAACUCUUAAGUUUCGGAACCCCAGCACUCCAAAUAAGAGGUGUAUGUUUGAAUUUUAGUAUAUGUGCUGCCAAAGCAAGCACGAGGUGUAUGUUUGAAACCAUCCUUGGUAUAGAGAUGAUAAGUAGACCCUAAGUUCCUGUUUUGAUUUCAAGUUCUUUAUAAGGACUUUCCAAUUUUUUUUUUUUUUUCAACUUACAGUUGACUCCUAGAGUUCUCCUACCCUGAUGGAACGAACCCUGCAUAAAGGUAGAUUAAGUUUCAAGACCCUAAAAAGGAGUGAAGGGAAGAGGCAACCGAAAGGUCCAGAAAAUAGAAAACAACCUAUUCACAUUUCAAAGGAUAGUAGAUGAUAUAUUUGUUAUUGAAAAUGCACAUUGAUAAGAGCCAUGAAGACUGGGAGCUUGAUCAGCAGCGUUUCCGUGCUUGCAAAGUCAACCUGAACCCCCAGGAGCCUGUCUUCUGUGACCAUCACACCAGCAGGGCGGAGUGCUGCUACAGACAGCUGCACUGUGAGUCCCGACCUGUGUUCUCGGUGACUGCCCAGGAAUCCACACAGUUCCUCUUGGGUGUUGGGCACCUGUUCCCACCUAAGCUGUUCUCCACUGUCACCUGAUCUAGCUUCUCUCUGAAGGAGGGAUCCCUCCUCAUGCUUCACAGAGAAUUCGAAGCCAUCCAAGAGGACAUUGGUCAUUCUCUUCUGCACUCCAAGUUCAGUGCUUCACACAUGCUGUGUGAUACCACUAGUUAUCCACUCCCCCGCUUUAUGGAGUCUCCCGGAAACGUCACACGUGCUGUAGCAUCUUCUUGCUUGAGAGGGUAGGGAAACAGAUGCAAAUGCUCUCCAUCUUCUCGCCACCGCUCCAGCCCUCUGCUCCCUGUAAUAGCCAUGCUUCUCUGAAUAUUCACUUCACUUGAUCACUCCCCUCCCCAACCCAGUCUCACGUCACCCUUCAACCCAUUCUGAUUUGCCUCCCACCCACCAUUCCACUGAAACUGACCUUGCAAAGGUCUUACUACCAGUUAGGCUUCUUUUCAGACUACCUUUACUUCUGACAGCAUUCCUGCCACAGCUCCAGCUCUACGUCUUCUCUGAGAGUCAGUGAAGAAAAAUGAUCCCCAGGAUUCCCAACAAAAUUCUUACAGCCUCUGAUCCUGGAUCAGUCACGGAACACACAGGCUCUUCUGAUAUCCUGGCCAAAGAGUUUCAUAUGUACAUAUGAUAUGUAGCUUUUUAACAGUUACCUAGUAUUCUGUUGCAUGAAUGUGUCAUAAUGUAUUCAACUUCUCCUUUGAUGAUGGACAUUUAGGUUUUUCUAGCAAUUUACUAACAUAAAUAAUGCCAGGAUGCACUUUCUUGUACCUUGAUCACCCACAUACACUCUCAUACUCACAUUGUUCUUUCUUCACAAAACUCAUCAAGUUCAUAACUGCUGAAUUGUGAUUUUUGUGUUUUAAGGAACUUUCCAUCACACCACCAACAUGUCACAUUGUAUGUUCCUGUGACCACUUUGAGGAAGGGAAAGGGGGAGGGGACACUGGAGGCUGCAAUAUCUAGACUUUGUCUUCAUUCUCUUCGGUUCACCAAAUAUAGUCCAGCUGUAAAGAUAUGUGCUCUAUGAAGUUUACCCUAAAAUUAGAAGAAAGAAAAGGUCCAAUUUUCUGUAGAAGCCCCACUUGCCUUCUCAUCUCCCUGGGCCACCUGGGAAUGCAGGAGGGAUACCUUUCUCCUAAUCUGUUCUUCCUCAUAGCCUCUGCUUCCACCCUAUCAAUUCACAAGAACUGUUAAAAACUUUGACAUUUCCCAUUUCCCUUCUUUUUCCAUUGUCUAAGAGCUGCUGUGCCCCAAGCCACAGAAAGCACCUACCACAACCCUCCAGCCUCAAAGAGGUGACAUUGCCCCCAGACCAAUGCCUGACUUCUUAGCCCUUGUCUUGGUCCUCUGCUGAUGGUCCUGCCCUCGCCCAUCCCGUACUGCCUCUGUCCUGCCAGUCCAUCACUUUGAAGCUGUAAGUCAGCACUUCUGGCUAACUAAAUGCAGCAUCUCUCAGAAGAAUGUCUGAGAGAUGUGUUCUUUCUGCUUCUGACGCCUGAUAUUUUAAAAAUAAUGUCAUUUACAAAAAUAAUGUCUUUAGAAACCUCUCUAGGCUAACUUCAGUUUAGAAGUCCUAGAACUUGGCUCUCAUACCCUCCAGAUCUCCAGUUACUACCUGGUUACACUUUCUGUACUUUUAUUGCUGAUAAAUAAGCUUUCUCUUCCUUAACUUGCAGAACAUUUUUUCCCAUUUUUUUCUCUUGAGCUUCCACAUUCUCAGUUCCAUGACAAAACACUGUCAACCCCUUUUCCAGUCCUUAGAACAGAAGUCCUCUUCCUCCUCCUCCCUCCAUGCCCAGCAGGGAGUGAAAACACGGACUGAAGCUGUCCCCUCUCCGACCCCUGCUCUUCAUCAGCGUUCUCAACUCCACAGGGGCUCCCAGGAAAGCUCCCAGCCCACUUUGGAAUAUAGUCUUCCUUCAGGUCACAACAUUCGCUGAUAUUUUAUAAAUAAAACUUUCUUUUACUGGUACUUGGUAAACUGAAUGAACAAGUUGUUGUUUAGUUGCUAAGUUGUGACUGACUCUUUUGUGGUCCCCUGGACUGUAGCCAGCCAGGCUCCUCUGUCCAUGGGAUUCUCUAGGCAAGAAUACUGGAGUGCACUUCCAUUUUCUUUUCCAGGGGAAUUUCCUGACCCAGGGAUCAAACCUGUGUCUCCUGCAUUGCCAGGUGGAUUCUUUACAACUGAGCCACCAAGGAAGCCCAAAUGAACAAGUACUACUCAUAAAAUAAAGAGGGAACUUGUAACUGCCA
RNAcentral lists this long non-coding RNA (3460 nucleotides) under Cervus hanglu yarkandensis (Yarkand deer). RNAcentral describes it as "lncRNA (ENSCHYG00000013458.1)". The record is from RNAcentral. Lineage: Eukaryota; Metazoa; Chordata; Mammalia; Artiodactyla; Cervidae.